GUAGGUGGCAAGCGUUAUCCGGAAUUAUUGGGCGUGAAGCGCGCGCAGGCGGUUUCUUAAGUCUGAUGUGAAAGCCCACGGCUCAACCGUGGAGGGUCAUUGGAAACUGGGGAACUUGAGUGCAGAAGAGAAAAGCGGAAUUCCACGUGUAGCGGUGAAAUGCGUAGAGAUGUGGAGGAACACCAGUGGCGAAGGCGGCUUUUUGGUCUGUAACUGACGCUGAGGCGCGAAAGCGUGGGGAGCAAACAGGAUUAGAUACCCUGGUAGUCCACGCCGUAAACGAUGAGUGCUAAGUGUUAGAGGGUUUCCGCCCUUUAGUGCUGCAGCUAACGCAUUAAGCACUCCGCCUGGGAGUACGGUCGCAAGACUG
This 370-nucleotide ribosomal RNA is filed under the name uncultured organism. Its description in RNAcentral is "partial 16S ribosomal RNA". It matches the Rfam family "Bacterial small subunit ribosomal RNA", at positions 527 to 896 of the family's 1533-position model. The record is from RNAcentral.